Python bivittatus (Burmese python) is the source of this 447-nucleotide non-coding RNA. Lineage: Eukaryota; Metazoa; Chordata; Lepidosauria; Squamata; Pythonidae. The record is from RefSeq and is a predicted model, not a curated record.
ACCAAGUUUGAAGCUGAAGAAGAAAAUAACUAAAACAAAAGAAGCUAAAAAAGUUUUGAAGAGAAAAUUUAAAGUAAAUACAAAAAUCGUAUUUGCGGAUGAUGGAGAGUUAAUUCAGCAGUGGCCACCAGCCCAAAAAUCUAUCCUGGACAAAGAGGAAGAUGGCGAUGAUUGUAAUGGGAUCGAUCUAGACAAAGCAAAAGAAAGACUUAAGGAAGAGGAUAAAUUUGACAAAGAGGAAUACAGGAAGAAAAUUAAAGAAAAACACAGGGAGAAAAGGCUUAAAGAAAAGGCAGCUAGAAGGGAAACCAGGAAGAUAAAUACAAAGACUGAAGAGGACACUGUAGCCUUUCUGGAUCACAGUGACAGUGGUGAGGAAUUUGAUCCAAGUACGCUUCCAGACCCAGAUGGAUACGGAGAUGAUGAACAAGAGAUUCUUCCAAAAAG